Molecule: ribosomal RNA, 435 nt
Filed under: uncultured bacterium
Lineage: Bacteria
Description: partial 16S ribosomal RNA
Rfam family: Bacterial small subunit ribosomal RNA
Source: RNAcentral
GAUGAACGCUGGCGGUAUGCUUAACACAUGCAAGUCGAACGGACUCUUCGGAGUUAGGGGCGGACGGGUGAGUAACGCGUGAGAAUCUGGCUUUGGGUUCGGGACAACCACUGGAAACGGUGGCUAAUACCGGAUGUGCCGAGAGGUAAAAGAGAAAUUGCCUGAAGAUGAGCUCGCGUCUGAUUAGCUAGUUGGUGAGGUAAAGGCUCACCAAGGCAGCGAUCAGUAGCUGGUCUGAGAGGAUGACCAGCCACACUGGGACUGAGACACGGCCCAGACUCCUACGGGAGGCAGCAGUGGGGAAUUUUCCGCAAUGGGCGAAAGCCUGACGGAGCAAUACCGCGUGAGGGAAGAAGGCUCUUGGGUUGUAAACCUCUUUUCUUAGGGAAGAACAAAAUGACGGUACCUAAGGAAUCAGCAUCGGCUAACUCCGUG